UUUCCCUAGGUGAACCUGCGGAAGGAUCAUUAUUGUAUAACCGAGGUGCGAGGGCUGUCGCUGACCCGAAAGGUCGUGCACGCCCGAGUGCCCUCACACACAUCCAUCUCACCCCUAUGUGCACCACCGCGUGGGUCCCCCUUUGGCUUGUUCGGAGGGGGGCUUACGUUUUCACACAAACUUUGUAUGCAGUGUAGAAUGUAUUUUCUGUUUUUGCGAUCACGCAAUCAAUACAACUUUCAACAACGGAUCUCUUGGCUCUC
Molecule: unclassified non-coding RNA, 263 nt
Filed under: plant metagenome
Description: partial contains small subunit ribosomal RNA, internal transcribed spacer 1, and 5.8S ribosomal RNA
Source: RNAcentral